This 460-nucleotide ribosomal RNA is filed under the name uncultured bacterium. Its description in RNAcentral is "partial 16S ribosomal RNA". It matches the Rfam family "Bacterial small subunit ribosomal RNA", at positions 338 to 795 of the family's 1533-position model. The record is from RNAcentral.
CCUACGGGUGGCAGCAGUGAGGAAUAUUGGUCAAUGGGCGCGAGUCUGAACCAGCCAAGUCGCGUGAGGGAUGACUGCCCUAUGGAUUGUAAACUUCUUUUGUCUGGGAGUAAAAGAUUCCACGCGUGGCGUUUUGAGAGUACCCUCAGAAUAAGGAUCGGCUAACUCCGUGCCAGCAGCCGCGGUAAUACGGAGGAUCCGAGCGUUAUCCGGAUUUAUUGGGUUUAAAGGGAGCGUAGGCGGUCUGUUAAGUCUGAUGUGAAAGUGUGCGGCUCAACCGUAGUAUUGCAUUGGAAACUGGGAGACUUGAGUGCAGUAGAGGAGAGUGGAACUCGAUGUGUAGCGGUGAAAUGCGUAGAUAUCUGGAAGAACUCCAAUGGCGAAAGCAGCUCUCUGGUCUGUAACUGACACUGAGGUUCGAAAGCGUGGGUAGCAAACAGGAUUAGAUACCCCAGUAGUC